This 448-nucleotide ribosomal RNA is filed under the name uncultured bacterium. Its description in RNAcentral is "partial 16S ribosomal RNA". It matches the Rfam family "Bacterial small subunit ribosomal RNA", at positions 29 to 523 of the family's 1533-position model. The record is from RNAcentral.
AGCGAACGCUGGCGGCAGGCCUAACACAUGCAAGUCGAACGAAGCCUUCGGGCUUAGUGGCGGACGGGUGAGUAACACGUGGGAACGUACCUUUUGGUUCGGAACAACUCAGGGAAACUUGAGCUAAUACCGGAUGAGCCCUUAGGGGAAAGAUUUAUCGCCGAAAGAGCGGCCCGCGUUAGAUUAGCUAGUUGGUGAGGUAAAGGCUCACCAAGGCAACGAUCUAUAGCUGGUCUGAGAGGAUGAUCAGCCACACUGGGACUGAGACACGGCCCAGACUCCUACGGGAGGCAGCGGUGGGGAAUCUUGCGCAAUGGGCGAAAGCCUGACGCAGCCAUGCCGCGUGAAUGAUGAAGGUCUUAGGAUUGUAAAAUUCUUUUACCAGGGACGAUAAUGACGGUACCUGGAGAAAAAGCCCCGGCUAACUUCGUGCCAGCAGCCGCCGUAA